This is a long non-coding RNA of Gossypium arboreum, 632 nucleotides long. RefSeq lists it as uncharacterized. The record is from RefSeq and is a predicted model, not a curated record. NCBI's taxonomy places the organism in Eukaryota, Viridiplantae, Streptophyta, Magnoliopsida, Malvales, Malvaceae. The transcript has 2 exons.
UUAUAUUUACUAAAUCUCGUCUUUUACAAAUGACUAAUUAAACUAAUACACUAAUCAUAGUUCCAAUUCUUGAUAAAAUCUAUUUAUAUAUGUCCAAGUGUUCACUCUACCUCUCUUUUUCCAUAUUUCUCCAUUGCCGGUCAAAUAAUUUUCUUCCUCUUGCUUUUUGAUUCAUUUUCAAAGAAACUUCCCAAAAUUUCGUUCUAAUAUCUUUAUGAAAAACCCAAUCUUUCAACCCUUUUUUUGGUUCUUUCAAAUCAAGCAAAAAGGAGAUAUUGAAUCCCUCUCCAAAAAUCUUCCAACAUGUUCAUUCAUCGACUCCUUCUUCCUUCAAUAUUCAUAGUUUGCUGCCUCACAACGCUUACAGAUGGAGCUACAGUUCCAGAUGAUGAAGUGGAAGCUUUGAGAAGUAUUAGUAGGACAUUGGGGAAGACAGACUGAAACUUUGAUAUUGAUCCAUGCAGUAGAGGCAAUAGUUGGUUGGACCAACCCACACGUUAUUAUGCUAAUAAUGUUACUUGUGAUUGCUCCUUCAACAAUAACACUACCUGCCAUGUCAUCCAUAUGUAAGCAUAUAUAUAUAUAGAUAUAUCUUAUAAUAAAAGCUUAUCUACCAUUGAGUUGUGACUAAA